Molecule: RNase P RNA, 399 nt
Filed under: Actibacterium sp. 188UL27-1
Lineage: Bacteria; Pseudomonadati; Pseudomonadota; Alphaproteobacteria; Rhodobacterales; Roseobacteraceae
Description: RNase P RNA component class A
Rfam family: Bacterial RNase P class A
About the family: Ribonuclease P (RNase P) is a ubiquitous endoribonuclease, found in archaea, bacteria and eukarya as well as chloroplasts and mitochondria. Its best characterised activity is the generation of mature 5'-ends of tRNAs by cleaving the 5'-leader elements of precursor-tRNAs. Cellular RNase Ps are ribonucleoproteins.
Source: RNAcentral
GCGGAUGGCUGGAUGACCGCUUUCGGCGGGGCUUGCCCCACCUGAGAGGAAAGUCCGGACUCCCUGAAGCAACGGUGCCGGGUAACGCCCGGGCGGGGCAACCCGACGGAAAGCGCCACAGAAAACAAACCGCCUUCGCCAGCCGCGUGCGGCAAACGGGGGUAAGGAUGAAACGGUGGAGUAAGAGCCCACCGCGGGGCUGGCAACAGCACCGGCAUGGCAAGCCCCACCGGGAGCAAUGCCAAAUAGGAACCGCGUGGCGCCCCGGCGUCGGGGUCGCUUCAACCCCAGCAGGUUCGGGUUGGCAGCUAGAGUGUGUCGGCAACGGCACGCCCAGAGGAAUGGUCAUCCACGGGGGACACCCCGGGACAGAAUCCGGCUUACAGGCUAUCCGCGCGA